UGGCUCUUGCAUCGAUGAAGAACGCAGUGAAAUGCGAUAUGUAAUGUGAAUUGCAGAAACCAGUGAAUCAUCGAAUCUUUGAACGCACAUUGCGCCUGAGGGUAGUCCUUUAGGCAUGCUUGUUCGAGCGUCGUUUCACAAAAUCAAAACGUCGUUGGCUGUCAAACUUUGACAUCUGAAAGUUAUCGGCUGGUGUCGACGAAUCCAUUGCAGCGAAAUGCAAGGUCUCGAGGCAUAAGCCAUGUAUACGAUAUGUUUGACCUCGAAUCAAGUAAGAUUACCCGCUGA
RNAcentral lists this unclassified non-coding RNA (288 nucleotides) under uncultured fungus. RNAcentral describes it as "partial contains 5.8S ribosomal RNA and internal transcribed spacer 2". The stretch from base 1 to 133 matches the Rfam family "5.8S ribosomal RNA", at positions 22 to 154 of the family's 154-position model. The record is from RNAcentral. Lineage: Eukaryota; Fungi.